UGGGGAAUAUUGCGCAAUGGACGAAAGUCUGACGCAGCGACGCCGUGUGUGGGAGGAAGCUCUUCGGGGUGUAAACCACUGUCAGGAGGGAAGAACGGCGCCGGUUCGAACAGUUCCGGCGAUUGACGGUACCUCCAAAGGAAGCGCCGGCUAACUCCGUGCCAGCAGCCGCGGUAAGACGGAGGGCGCAAGCGUUGUUCGGAAUUACUGGGCGUAAAGCGCGGGCAGGCGGUCUGUUAAGUCGUUUGUGAAAAUCCGGGGCUCAACCCCGGAAAUGCAUACGAUACUGGCAGGCUGGAGACUGGUAGAGGCUAGCGGAAUUCCUGGUGUAGCGGUGGAAUGCGUAGAUAUCAGGAGGAACACCGGUGGCGAAGGCGACAUCCUGGACCAAUUCUGACGCUGAGGAGCGAAAGCCAGGGGAGCAAACGGGAUUAGAUACCCUAGUAGUCCCUGAGCGGGCUGGCAAGGCGCAU
This 473-nucleotide ribosomal RNA is filed under the name uncultured bacterium. RNAcentral's name for it is "bacterial SSU rRNA". It matches the Rfam family "Bacterial small subunit ribosomal RNA", at positions 355 to 825 of the family's 1533-position model. The record is from RNAcentral.